ACAUAGUGGAAGAGAGAAAGAGACAUGCAUGAAUGUGAAAGACAAUGGGGAGAUAAAAACCAGGAAAAAAACUUGGUGAAUCAUUGGAUAUGAAAGGAAGAAAUUUUAAAAAGCAGUAAGAAAGUCCCUAUUUUACAAUAGUACAAUUGAGACAGGAGACACUGGAAACAGAGCCAGAUCCGGUGAGAGGGAACACAGUGACAUUACAAUGCUGCACACCACAGUAACAGAAGAGUUGAACAACUUGUAUAAAAGAUGUGACAAACACAGAGAGGAAGGAGAGACAACACUGCGUUUACAACGACCGGAGCCAGGGACUUUACCUAGAGAAAGAUGAAGUAGCCAAGGGAAAAGGAGAAGUUUGAGGCAAACAAAGCUUCACCAAGGAACUCGUUUGCUGUUUGCCCAAAGCACAUGUUCAGUAGGACGUGUUCCCAGCACCUGGACUGAAGCAUGCAGUUUCUAUUAAGUUGCCUAAGAAAGAAGCUCAACAGCCAGAGUACUCACAGAUUCUGAAGUUUUCCAACCUUAAGACUCUCUGAGAUGCCAGAAAUGCGUGGAAAUUCAGACUGAAGUAAGAUUCUCGUAUUGUUCUUCAUUGGGAUUCUGGACAAACGGUAUGAAAUAUUUUCCUAUUGAUGAGAGCAUUUCAGGCAGUUGCUGCUUGGCGUACCCCUAACACAUCCUUUCUUUGAGCACCAGUGACCACCUUGAACUGAGAGCAGCAAGAGCAGCUGGUAGACCGUGGCCACAGGAGCUCCCUUUUCCCUCAUUUUCUUCCUCAAGAGCAC
This is a long non-coding RNA of Cynocephalus volans (Philippine flying lemur), 791 nucleotides long. RefSeq lists it as uncharacterized. The transcript has 3 exons. The record is from RefSeq and is a predicted model, not a curated record. Lineage: Eukaryota; Metazoa; Chordata; Mammalia; Dermoptera; Cynocephalidae.